Long non-coding RNA from Oreochromis aureus, 712 nucleotides. RefSeq lists it as uncharacterized. The record is from RefSeq and is a predicted model, not a curated record. The transcript is spliced from 3 exons. Lineage: Eukaryota; Metazoa; Chordata; Actinopteri; Cichliformes; Cichlidae.
GGGCACUAUGUGGGUUACACUGUUCCUCCCCUGCUGCUGCUACUGAUGUGCGUCUUUGCGGUUUUAGUUUAUAAGUGCAAACAUCAGAAAGCAAAAGACAAUGAAACUGUCAUGAACAUAAAUGCACAGAACGAAGACGCUUUAGAGGAAGUGAUGCGUGUGGCAGAAAAUAACAUUUAUGAAAGUCAAGAAGUUGUGAUAUACUCAAAUAAGUAGACGUCCGAACUGCAGAGUGCCAGUAAUGACUAUGAAGAUUUAGGUGAAGAUGAACCAGACUUAAACGUCACAACUGAAGAAAUCUUCUGUAAUGGAAAUUUCCAUACUGCCAAUUGAAGAUAAACAGUGUGUGCAUUUGAGGUCAAUCUUUGGCUCUCACCUGUAUGAUCAUCCUGUUUAAUUUGUCUUUAACAUUAACAGUUACACAGCUAAUCUUAAUGUACCAUAAUCCAGGCUUCUCACUCUCUCACUGAAAACAUUGAGAUUUUUGUUUAACCAUGACAAAGAGCUGCUAUUUAUACAUAUAUAGCUUCACUUCUUACUCAUUUGCUAUUACCCUUUCUUUCAUUUUUAUUGCUUAGUGUUAGCAACAUAAUCUACGCUGAUUUUCUGAAACUGUGGGAAACCUCAAAUGCAAAUGACUAACAUCAAUGUAAUGUAAAUAAAUCUGCAAAUUAAAAUAAAAUUUUAGUCAUUCUUGUCUGUUUUUGCCCCA